Molecule: long non-coding RNA, 692 nt
Organism: Sorghum bicolor (sorghum)
Lineage: Eukaryota; Viridiplantae; Streptophyta; Magnoliopsida; Poales; Poaceae
Exons: 4
Source: RefSeq, a predicted model, not a curated record
UGUUGAAGGCCCAGGAUGGUUUGAAAAAUAGGCAAGGAGGUACGGUCUAUCUUGAAACUGCAUGUAUGAAGCGUGUUGGAGAAAAUAAUGAGACCAUGGACGACAUUUACCCUAAGCGCGGCCAUCGUCCUGCUUUAGUUCAAAGAGUGCAAACUUACUUGGGCCAUGAUAUGGUAUUAAUUUUGUGAACCAACUAUUGUUCUUUUAUUAUCAUUUUGUUAUGGAUGGUAAAAUGUUUAUUAUUUGAUUUUAUAGGUGUUCCUUCCAAUAAAUGUUACGCAUACACACUGGUACCUUGCAGUUGUAAACGCUGAUAAACAUGAGGUCCAGGUGCUAGACUCUUUGGGAGAUAUGUUCGGACGUGAUGACUUGAAAAAAGUUCUAAUUGGAUUGAGGAGACAAAUAGAAUUCGUAUUCAAUGAGGAGAAAGACCUGAAAGAGCAUAAAUGGCCUGAUGUUAAAGUUGAUGAUUGGCCGGUGAAGGAGAUUUUUCGUGACAAAUUCUUACAAAAAGAUGGUUUUUCAUGCGGAUUAUUCUUAAUAAAUUUUAUGGAAUAUUGGACCAGGAAUGAAUUAUCAGACAAUUUCAAUCAGGUAAUCUAGCACCCUAGCUGUGGGUUUGUAAUUAAUAUUUAACUAGGUUCAUACUAUGUAAUAUGCAGGAUGAUAUGAAAGCGUUUAGACUAAAGCUU